This is a non-coding RNA of Pelobates cultripes (western spadefoot toad), 276 nucleotides long. NCBI's taxonomy places the organism in Eukaryota, Metazoa, Chordata, Amphibia, Anura, Pelobatidae. The record is from the annotation of a GenBank genome assembly.
CUACUGUCAACCCGAGAAGCUGGGGAAACCACGAUUGCGUUUCCCAGAAUGGGGUCUCUAGGACCAGCUCGGCUAGGUGUCUGUAGGAGUGAACAAGGGUGCGAGGGAUCAUGGAGAACGGGGGGGAAGGCAUUUAGGAGGCCUCCGCUCCAGUCCCGUAGGAAGGCGUCCACUGCCCCGCCGCCAGGUCCGGCCGCCAGCUGAAGAACUGUGGGAGCUGGGUGUUGAGCCGGGACGCGAAUAGGUCUAUAGCAAAAGGGCCCCAGAGAGACGAUA